GGUGGGGUAGAGCAGUCUGGGAGCUCGUGAGGCUCAUAAUCUCAAGGUCAUAGGUUCAAAUCCUAUCCCCAUCC
This 74-nucleotide transfer RNA is filed under the name Prototheca cutis. Its description in RNAcentral is "tRNA-fMet". It matches the Rfam family "tRNA". Rfam says of the family: Transfer RNA (tRNA) molecules are approximately 80 nucleotides in length. Their secondary structure includes four short double-helical elements and three loops (D, anti-codon, and T loops). Lineage: Eukaryota; Viridiplantae; Chlorophyta; Trebouxiophyceae; Chlorellales; Chlorellaceae. The record is from RNAcentral.